Molecule: ribosomal RNA, 775 nt
Filed under: uncultured Neocallimastigales
Lineage: Eukaryota; Fungi; Neocallimastigomycota; Neocallimastigomycetes; Neocallimastigales
Description: partial large subunit ribosomal RNA
Rfam family: Eukaryotic large subunit ribosomal RNA
Source: RNAcentral
AGAGAGAGACAUGCGCGCAUAUCAAUAAGCGGAGGAAAAGAAACUAACAAGGAUUCCCCUAGUAACGGCGAGUGAAGCGGGAAGAGCUCAAAUUUGAAAUCUUAAAGGGUUUCCCUUUACGAAUUGUAGUUUAAAGAAGUGUUUUCUGUUGAGGUUUUGGUAAAAGUUCUUUGGAAUAGGACAUCAUAGAGGGUGAGAAUCCCGUAUUUGACCUUUACUUUCAACUUUGUGAUACACUUUCAAAGAGUCGGAUUGUUUGGGAAUGCAGUCCAAAAUGGGUGGUAAAUUUCAUCUAAAGCUAAAUAUUGGCGAGAGACCGAUAGCGAGCAAGUACCGUGAGGGAAAGAUGGAAAAGAACUUUGAAAAGAGAGUUAAACAGUACGUGAAAUUGUCAAAAGGGAAGCGUUUGACACCAGUGUUGUUUUUCUGAAAAUCAAUUAAAGAACUGUUUAUGCUAAGUUGUUUAGACUUUAUCAGCUAACUGUUUAGUUUUGAGCUUUUCUUUAAUGCACUUUUCAGUUAACAAGUCAACAUCAAUUCCUUUUGCUGUAAAAAAGCUUGAGGAAGGUGGCUUGAGAUUCGUCUUAAGUGUUUAUAGCCUCUUGCCUAUGCAGUCGGAGAGAUUGAGGUCUGCAGCGUAGAUCCUUCGGGGCUAAAUGCAUUUGUGCUAAGUUAUAGCAUUUUAUAGACAACUUGUUGACUAUGAUUUGUCUUGUAGCUUACUCGCUUAUGUUAUUUUACCUACGCUUAGGAUGUUGACGCAUGAGAUAUACGC